This 245-nucleotide ribosomal RNA is filed under the name uncultured bacterium. Its description in RNAcentral is "partial 16S ribosomal RNA". It matches the Rfam family "Bacterial small subunit ribosomal RNA", at positions 524 to 768 of the family's 1533-position model. The record is from RNAcentral.
UACGUAGGAUGCGAGCGUUGUCCGGAGUUACUGGGCGUAAAGCGUGGGCAGGCGGUCGUCUGCGUCCGAGGUCAAAGGUCCCGGCUCAACUGGGAACAGGGUUCGGAAACGAGGCGACUGGAGGACAAGAGAGGGAAGUGGAACUCCCGGUGGACCAGUGAAAUGGGUAGAGAUCGGGAAGAACACCAGAGGGGAAGCCGACUUCCUGGCUUGGGCCUGACGCUGAACCACGACAGCUUGGGGAG